AGUGAGCGCUGGCGGCGUGCUUAACACAUGCAAGUCGAACGAGAACGGAUUAUAGCUUGCUAUAAUUGUCAGCUGAGUGGCGCACGGGUGAGUAAUGUAUAGGUAGUAUGCCUCUUACUAAGGGAUAACAAAUGGAAACGUUUGCUAAUACCUUAUACUCCUUAUUAACAUAAGUUAAUAAGGGAAAGAUUUAUUGGUAAGAGAUUAGCCUGUAUUGUAUCAGUUAGUUGGUGGGGUAAUGGCUUACCAAGACUAUGACAAGUAACUGGUUUGAGAGGAUGAUCAGUCACACUGCAACUGAGACACGGUCCAGACUCCUACGGGAGGCAGCAGUGGGGAAUAUUGCACAAUGGACGAAAGUCUGAUGCAGCAACGCCGCGUGGAGGAUGACACAUUUCGGUGCGUAAACUCCUUUUAUAUGAGAAGAUAAUGACGGUAUUAUAUGAAUAAGCACCGGCUAACUCCGUGCCAGCCGCCGCGGUAA
Molecule: ribosomal RNA, 484 nt
Filed under: uncultured bacterium
Lineage: Bacteria
Description: partial 16S ribosomal RNA
Rfam family: Bacterial small subunit ribosomal RNA
Source: RNAcentral